Molecule: small RNA, 61 nt
Filed under: Caenorhabditis elegans
Lineage: Eukaryota; Metazoa; Nematoda; Chromadorea; Rhabditida; Rhabditidae
Description: Unclassified non-coding RNA Y53F4A.5
Source: RNAcentral
GCCAAAGCCUAAGCCUAAGCCUAAGCCUAAGCCUAAGUCUAAGCCUAAGCCUAAGCCUAAA